This 2238-nucleotide ribosomal RNA is filed under the name human gut metagenome. RNAcentral's name for it is "bacterial LSU rRNA". It matches the Rfam family "Bacterial large subunit ribosomal RNA", at positions 336 to 2554 of the family's 2925-position model. The record is from RNAcentral.
AACGGCAUGGGAGGGCCGGCCGCAGCGGGUGACAGCCCCGUACGCGAACCCAGACCGGACGGCGCGACGCGGUCCCUGAGUAGGGCCGGGCACGUGAAACCCGGUCCGAACCUGGGUGGACCACCAUCCAAGCCUGAGUACUACCCUGUGACCGAUAGCGCACCAGUACCGUGAGGGAAAGGUGAAAAGCACCCCGGGAGGGGAGUGAAACAGUACCUGAAACCGUGCGCCCACGAGCAGUCGGAGCACCUUUGUGGUGUGACGGCGUGCCUUUUGUAGAAUGAGCCAGCGAGUCGCUGGCGCGGGGCGAGGUUAACCGAAAGGGAGCCGGAGCGAAAGCGAGCCUUAACAGGGCGACUUGAGUCCCGCGCCGCGGACGCGAAGCCGGGUGAGCUAUCCGUGGGCAGGCUGAAGCGGGGGUAAGACCCCGUGGAGGGCCGAACGCACGUCGGUUGAAAACGGCGGCGAUGACCUGCGGAUAGGGGUGAAAGGCCAAUCAAACCCGGAGAUAUCUCGUUCUCCCCGAAAUAGCUUUAGGGCUAGCGUCGCGCGUUCACCGCCGGAGGUAGAGCACCGGAUGGACGAGGGGGCUUCGCCGCCUACCGAAUCCAACCGAACUCCGAAUGCCGGCGGCCCAGAGCGCGGCAGUCAGAGCAUGUGGGCUAAGCUGUGUGCUCGAGAGGGAAACAGCCCGGACCGCCCGCUAAGGUCCCCAAGUUCCAGCCGAGUGGCAAAGGAUGUGCGUCCGCCCAGACAACCAGGAUGUUGGCUUAGAAGCAGCCAUCCAUUCAAAGAGUGCGUAACAGCUCACUGGUCGAGUGGACAUGCGCCGACAAUACACGGGGCUAAGCUGGACACCGAAGCGGCGGGAUUUUAAUUCAUUAGAAUCGGUAGGGGAGCUUCCCAUGGGCGGAGAAGCCGGAGGGCGACCGACGGUGGAGCGCAUGGGAGUGAGAAUGCUGGCAUGAGUAGCGAGAGACGAGAGAGUAACUCGUCCGCCGUGAACCCGAGGUUUCCUGGGCAAGGCUAAUCCUCCCAGGGUCAGUCGGGGGCUAAGGCGAGGCCGGAAGGCGUAGCCGACGCGCAGCAGGCAGACAUUCCUGCACCGCGCACGCGGCGCUACGACCGACGGGGCGACGGAUGGGGGUGGCUCGGCGGGGUUCUGGACGUCCCCGUGAUGGAGCGCGGCCCGCGGACCAGGGAAAUCCGGUCCGCAUCAAGGGCGAGGCUCCGGACGAAGCGAUUGAGCGAAGCGAGUGAGCCCGAGGUCCCUAGAAAAACCCCUAGGCAGGCGCGUGCGCGCCCGUACCGCAAACCGACACAGGUGGGUGGGUAGAACAUACCGAGGCGAUCGGGUCAACCAUGGUCAAGGAACUCGGCACAAUGGCCCCGUAACUUCGGGAGAAGGGGUGCCCGCGCGUACGUGAACCGGCUCGCCCGGGGAGCGGAGGCGGGCCGCAGUGGAGAGGCCCAAGCGACUGUUUACCAAAAACACAGGACUCUGCAGAAGCCGCAAGGCGACGUAUAGGGUCUGACGCCUGCCCGGUGCCGGAAGGUCACGCGGAGGAGUUAGCCGUCAAGGCGAAGCCCCGAAGCCAAGCCCCGGUAAACGGCGGCCGUAACUAUAACGGUCCUAAGGUAGCGAAAUUCCUUGUCGGGUAAGUUCCGACCUGCACGAAUGGCGUAACGAUUUGGGCGCUGUCUCAACCAUGGACCCGGUGAAAUUGUAUUGGUCGUGAAGAUGCGACUUACCCGCGGAAGGACGGAAAGACCCCGUGAACCUUCACUGCAGCUUGGCAUUGGCCGCUGGUCCCGCGUGUAGAGGAUAGGCAGGAGGCAUCGAUCCGGAGGCGCCAGCCCCCGGGGAGCCGCCCUUGGAAUACUGCCCUCGCGCGACCGGCGUCCUAACCCGAGGCCGUCAACCGGCUCGGGGACCGUGCCAGGCGGGCAGUUUGACUGGGGCGGUCGCCUCCUAAAGGGUAACGGAGGCGCGCGAAGGUCCGCUCGGGACGGUCGGCAACCGUCCUUUUGAAUGCAAGAGUACAAGCGGGCUUGACUGCGAGGCCCACAAGCCGAGCAGGUGCGAAAGCAGGCUCUAGUGAUCCGGCGGCCCCGAGUGGGUGGGCCGUCGCUCAACGGAUAAAAGGUACUCCGGGGAUAACAGGCUGAUCUUGCCCAAGAGUCCACAUCGACGGCAAGGUUUGGCACCUCGAUGUCGGCUCAUCGCAUCCUGGGGCU